GAGUAAUACAUCGGAACGUGUCCUGUAGUGGGGGAUAGCCCGGCGAAAGCCGGAUUAAUACCGCAUACGCUCUACGGAGGAAAGGGGGGGAUCUUAGGACCUCCCGCUACAGGGGCGGCCGAUGGCAGAUUAGCUAGUUGGUGGGGUAAAGGCCUACCAAGGCGACGAUCUGUAGCUGGUCUGAGAGGACGACCAGCCACACUGGGACUGAGACACGGCCCAGACUCCUACGGGAGGCAGCAGUGGGGAAUUUUGGACAAUGGGGGCAACCCUGAUCCAGCAAUGCCGCGUGUGUGAAGAAGGCCUUCGGGUUGUAAAGCACUUUUGUCCGGAAAGAAAACGCCGUGGUUAAUACCCGUGGCGGAUGACGGUACCGGAAGAAUAAGCACCGGCUAACUACGUGCCAGCAGCCGCGGUAAUACGUAGGGUGC
This 431-nucleotide ribosomal RNA is filed under the name Burkholderia sp. Z4_80_10. RNAcentral describes it as "bacterial SSU rRNA". It matches the Rfam family "Bacterial small subunit ribosomal RNA", at positions 108 to 535 of the family's 1533-position model. The record is from RNAcentral. Lineage: Bacteria; Pseudomonadati; Pseudomonadota; Betaproteobacteria; Burkholderiales; Burkholderiaceae.